Molecule: unclassified non-coding RNA, 379 nt
Filed under: uncultured bacterium
Lineage: Bacteria
Description: contains 16S-23S intergenic spacer region
Source: RNAcentral
UCCGGCUUAACGCCGGCGGUCUCCUUAGAGUGCCACGGCUUUACCCGGGGGCAACAUAGGACAGGGGUCGCGCUCGUUGCGGGACUUAACCCAACAUCUCACGACACGAGCUGACGACAGCCAUGCACCACCUGUGCACUGGCCCCGAAGGGCUGCCGUAUUUCUACGGCAUUCCAGUGCAUGUCAAGCCCUGGUAAGGUCCUUCGCGUUGCAUCGAAUUAAACCACAUGCUCCACCGCUUGUGCGGGCCCCCGUCAAUUCCUUUGAGUUUCAGCCUUGCGGCCGUACUCCCCAGGCGGGGCACUUACUGCGUUAGCGACGGCACCGGGAGGGUCGCUCCCCCCGACGCCUAGUGCCCAUCGUUUACGGCGUGGACUAC